Molecule: ribosomal RNA, 447 nt
Filed under: uncultured bacterium
Lineage: Bacteria
Description: bacterial SSU rRNA
Rfam family: Bacterial small subunit ribosomal RNA
Source: RNAcentral
CCCCAGACUCCUACGGGAGGCAGCAGUGGGGAAUAUUGCACAAUGGGGGAAACCCUGAUGCAGCGACGCCGCGUGAGCGAUGAAGUAUUUCGGUAUGUAAAGCUCUAUCAGCAGGGAAGAAGAUGACGGUACCUGACUAAGAAGCCCCGGCUAACUACGUGCCAGCAGCCGCGGUAAUACGUAGGGGGCAAGCGUUAUCCGGAUUUACUGGGUGUAAAGGGAGCGUAGACGGCGAUGCAAGCCAGAUGUGAAAGCCCGGGGCUCAACCCCGGGACUGCAUUUGGAACUGUUAAGCUGGAGUGUCGGAGAGGCAGGCGGAAUUCCUAGUGUAGCGGUGAAAUGCGUAGAUAUUAGGAGGAACACCAGUGGCGAAGGCGGCCUGCUGGACGAUAACUGACGUUGAGGCUCGAAAGCGUGGGGAGCAAACAGGAUUAGAUACCCGCGUAG